AGAGUGAACGCUGGCGGCGUGCCUAACACAUGCAAGUCGCACGAGAAAGCGGGAGCAAUCCUGCAAGUAAGGUGGCGUACGGGUGGGUAACACGUGAAUCAUCUACCUUCGAGUGUGGAAUAACUGAGAGAAAUCUUAGCUAAUACCGCAUAAUACUUACGAGUCAAAGCAGCAAUGCGCUUGAAGAGGAGUUCGCGGCAGAUUAGUUAGUUGGCGGGGUAAUGGCCCACCAAGACGAUGAUCUGUA
This 247-nucleotide ribosomal RNA is filed under the name uncultured bacterium. Its description in RNAcentral is "partial small subunit ribosomal RNA". It matches the Rfam family "Bacterial small subunit ribosomal RNA", at positions 26 to 285 of the family's 1533-position model. The record is from RNAcentral.